GCUAAAGAUGCGUAAUCACAUUUUUUUUGGGUAUAGUUAUUAACAAAUUUUUCUACUUAAAAAUUGUAUGUACGGUUUUCUGGGCUGAAUUGUCUAUUCUAGUCGCCUCAAAAAUUGAAAUAUAAACAACGAGAUAAUCACUGAUUAGGUAUAACCGCAUACAAAAUUUCAUAAACUUUCUCCCGUCGAAUAUAUUUGUACUUUAAGAAAUUAAUUUUUGAUUAAUAUCAAAAUCCAUAAUUCUACAGGGAAUCUAGCAUGGCAAUAAUAAAGGAUUAUCCAGUAGAUAGUAGUUCUAAAGCCGGAUUAUAGCAUUUGCAAUGAAAGAGAGAAACUAAAUUUUCUACUUGAUAAAAAAUGAAUUAUAGAAAACUAAAAUGUGGAAUAUGUGAAACUAAACAAAUUUACGCAAAGCUUCCAAUCUUCAUGUAAGUACUUUCUAAAAACUUGUAGUGCCAAAAUUAAGCAU
Molecule: non-coding RNA, 469 nt
Organism: Schizosaccharomyces pombe (fission yeast)
Lineage: Eukaryota; Fungi; Ascomycota; Schizosaccharomycetes; Schizosaccharomycetales; Schizosaccharomycetaceae
Source: the annotation of a GenBank genome assembly